GACAGAGGUGGCAAGCGUUGUUCGGAAUUAUUGGGCGUAAAGGGCGCGUAGGUGGCCUCGUAAGUCGACUGUGAAAUCCCAGGGCUUAACCCUGGAAGUGCCAGCCGAUACUGCUUGGCUUGAGUCCCGGAGAGGGUGGUGGAAUUCCCAGGUGUAGAAGGUUGAAAUUCGGUAGAGUAUUGGGAAGGAACACCGGGUGGCCGAAGGCGAAGCCACCGUCGGAACCGG
Molecule: ribosomal RNA, 228 nt
Filed under: uncultured bacterium
Lineage: Bacteria
Description: partial 16S ribosomal RNA
Rfam family: Bacterial small subunit ribosomal RNA
Source: RNAcentral